Molecule: unclassified non-coding RNA, 191 nt
Filed under: uncultured fungus
Lineage: Eukaryota; Fungi
Description: sequence contains ITS1
Source: RNAcentral
UUAACUAUUAUAUAGUACUCAGACGACAUUGAUAAUAAGAGUUUUGGGUCCUCUGGCAGGCACGGACUAGCCGAAGCCAGCGGUCCGAAGACGGGCCUGCCAAAGCAACAAAGGUAAUGUAAACAAAGGGUGGGAGAUUAGCCCGAAGGCAGUUCUCUUUAGUGAUCCUUCCGCAGGUUCACCUACGGAAA